ACUUGCUAGUCUCCUGUGAAAGUCGAUAUCUCUGCCCUGUUGUGGAUAGACCUGCUAGUCUCCUGUGAAGGUGGAUAUCUCUGCCCUGUUGUGGACAGACCUGCUAGUCUCCUGUGAAGGUGGAUAUCUCUGCCCUGUUGUGGACCCAGACCCGCUAGUCUCCUGUGAAGGUGGAUAUCUCUGCCCUGUUGUGGACAGACCUGCUAGUCUCCUGUGAAGGUGGAUAUCUCUGCCCUGUUGUGGACCCAGACCUGUAAUGAACACCAAUGUUACUGCUAACUGUCAGAUCUUAUCUACACACCCACACAGCCGGUAGGGUUAAAUUAACCCAUACAUAACACCCUGCUGAGAGAGAGGGAGAGAGAGGGAUGGAGAGAGAGGUAGAGAGGAGAAAGAGAGAGAUGGAGGGAGAGAGGAGAGAGAGGGAGAGCGGGAGAGAAAGAGAAAGAGAGAGAGCUAGAGGGAGAGAGAGCUGGAGGAAUAGAGGGAGAGAGGGAGAGAGAGAA
RNAcentral lists this long non-coding RNA (506 nucleotides) under Salmo salar (Atlantic salmon). Its description in RNAcentral is "lncRNA (ENSSSAG00000083253.1)". Lineage: Eukaryota; Metazoa; Chordata; Actinopteri; Salmoniformes; Salmonidae. The record is from RNAcentral.